UUUAAUUAGGAAUGUUAUGAGAGAGUGUGUUACCCAACUAAAGAACUUACUGCCUCAAACAACUAAUUGUGUUUUACCUAAUAACCAUCAAAUUCAGAUUCCUAUACAACAAAUUCAACCUAAUAUAGCCAAUAAUUUGGGUGAGUCUUGGGGUGUGCCUGAGAAGGAGAAUGUAGGAGGGGAGGUACAUGGACACUUUUCAUAUUUUGUCAAGUUGCUUAAAGAUGAUGAGGCCAAGAGGGGAGAUAUUGG
This 252-nucleotide long non-coding RNA is filed under the name Gossypium barbadense (sea-island cotton). RNAcentral's name for it is "long non-coding RNA (GBAR_LNC017365)". Lineage: Eukaryota; Viridiplantae; Streptophyta; Magnoliopsida; Malvales; Malvaceae. The record is from RNAcentral.